This 318-nucleotide long non-coding RNA is filed under the name Mus musculus (house mouse). Its description in RNAcentral is "lincRNA-EC84". The record is from RNAcentral. Lineage: Eukaryota; Metazoa; Chordata; Mammalia; Rodentia; Muridae.
UGGACACUUUACAAUGGGACCUGGAUGCCGGGCCUGAACAAGCUGGCUGUCCCCAGAGCUCAUGACAUUUGAUCUUCAACCCAAGGACAGCCCAUGCUUCCUGUGGUUGCUGUCUUUUGGUUUGUCGGUGCCUCUGUCCCCUGUUGGGCUCCUUGGAGGGAGCUUGCUUGCAAGCAGACGGAUGGAAGCCCACCUGACCUGUCUAGCUGUGGCCACUUCCUCCUUCCCAGCUCAGCCUUUGCUGUGAGAGCUCGGAGUGAAUGCCUUUGAGACCAAACAACAGGAAACCACGAAGCAGGGUGAGUCUGAGGACAGGAA